This 253-nucleotide ribosomal RNA is filed under the name uncultured bacterium. Its description in RNAcentral is "partial 16S ribosomal RNA". It matches the Rfam family "Bacterial small subunit ribosomal RNA", at positions 524 to 776 of the family's 1533-position model. The record is from RNAcentral.
GACAGAGGCCUCGAGCGUUAGGCGGAAUCACUGGGCUUAAAGCGUGUGUAGGCGGACGCCUAAGUGUCUUGUGAAAUCCCACGGCUCACCCGUGGAACCGCUGGGCAUACUGGGCGUCUUGGGCCAUUCAGGGGCGACUGGAACAAGCGGUGGAGCGGUGAAAUGCGUAGAUAUCGCUUGGAACGCCAACGGUGAAAACAGGUCGCUGGGAAUGUGCCGACGCUGAGACACGAAAGCCAGGGGAGCAAACGGG